Molecule: RNA transcript, 5835 nt
Organism: Sapajus apella (tufted capuchin)
Lineage: Eukaryota; Metazoa; Chordata; Mammalia; Primates; Cebidae
Gene: REPIN1
Gene name: replication initiator 1
Exons: 3
Source: RefSeq, a predicted model, not a curated record
UUUUUUUUAAAUGCCAUUUAAAAAAUGGAAAACUAAUAAGUUUUCCUGGAAGAUAAUUGAGAAAACCUUUAAAAAAUAUGCUUUGCCUUUGACAUAUCAGCUUCCCACUUCCAGAAUUUUUAAAGCAGGCAUGUGCAAUGAAAGAUGAACCUAUAAGGGCACACAUAGAAUAUUUAUAAACAGUCUACUUUUAUAUAGCCACAAAGAAUCAUGAUAUAAAAGAAUAUCUAAUAAAAUAGAAGAAAAUUCACAAGACCGUGUUAAGUGAAGAAGGCAGAAUACAAUUUUGCAAGGCAUUAUCCCAAUUAUGCCAGCCACACUAUGCAGAGAGAAACACCGCAGGCAACAUACUAAUAUAUUAACUGUAAUUGACUCUAGGAGGUAAAACUGAGUUUUAUUUUCCUCUAUAUCCCAUUUAUGCAACAGAUUUUAAAAAGUGUUUUACGGCAAUUCAAAAAUUGCCUGUGUUGAAAAGCAUGAAAGUACAUGAAAUUGUACUACUCUGGAAACCCAAGGAAGUGUAUAGUUUGGAAAGCCAGGGCCACCUGCUAGUGGGUGAGUCAUGGGCACGGGCUCGCACCUGCCACACAGACGCCACACAGGCUGCUGCGCGUUUCCAAGCAAAUGCCCCACGUGCGCCAACGGCCACCUCGGACGUGGCUCCGCCUGGCCCGUAGCCAGAGGAAGUCCGGCAACUUCUGCUCUUUCUUAAUUUCUGGAAAAGAGGGAAGAGAGGCCUUUUCAAAGUUCGCAGGAUCGGGCCUUUUCGUGCUCCACUUUGGAAUAAAUCGGAAGCCAGGGACUUCCAGGAGCGCCGCCGCCGUCCCGGACCUGCAGCGCCCGAGAGCGACCUCACUGCGGCCCGGGUGAGCGGCCUGGGAAAGGCCCCGGGCACGACACUCCGGGAGCUGCUGGCGCCCUCUUUGAAGUCUCCCGACGGGCUCCGAGCCUCUCAUAAGCCAACGACUACCGACCAGCCCCGGUGACCAGAGGCCAGCCACGCGGUCGCCCGGGGACGCGCAUCCUCCGCAGGGACAAAGGGUCGGGAAACUUGAGCUCUGGCCAGUCCCCAGAGACCCGCGCUGAUGGUUGCCAUGGCAACUGAGUAGGGCCCUCUGAGGCCGGCCGCCCAGGCGCUGCAGCUGCGAAGGUGACCCGGCCCGCUCUGGAGGGGGGGCCAGCAACCGGGCCCUGGCCGCCCCGCCCCGCCCCGCCACCAGGCCGCGGCCGCGGGAGUCGGCGACUGACCCUCCGCAGCUCCUGUAGUCACGUGGCGCUGGGAACCCGGCGGGGGGAGGUUGGGGACGGGCCUGGCAGUUGUGAACUCGAACCUGCCGCUGUCGCCGCGGCGGGGCGAGGAGCGGGAGCGGGCCGCGGAAGCCGGCCUUCGGGCUCCAUGGACGGGCGCCGCGCCCCUGCACAGCCCGCAGCAGAGGUAAGGCUGGCCUCUCUGCAGUCAGAGGUCUGAGCUCUGCCAUGGGGGUAGGGGUGUCUUUAUUGCUGCAGUUUUCUCUGACACCUGGGGGCUACCGGAGUGUGGGCCGAAGCAGGCACUGCAGCCGCCGAAGUAUCCCCAGGAACAUCCCCAGGAGGAGCUGGAGAAAGCCUGAUCCCCAGCUCUGCAGUCUCCAGGGUAGAGUCUGGCCUUUGCUGUGCUCGCAAACCACUGCACAACUGGGGUGCACAGGCGUCCCCAUUCGGCGGAAGGAAAGGGCCCUUUCUCAUAUCCUGGGGGGGGUCUUCCCUAUGCACCGUCUGACACUGGGGAUGAGUGACCUCUGUGUUCCCUGAGAAGAGAGUGGGCUCUAGGGAAUUUAGAAGGAUGUGUCUGGAGCUGGUGAGCAGGCACAGAAGGGCCUUUAGGAGCCUAACAGCCGCCACAGCCUGCUUUCUGUGGAGGAGGCUUCUGUGCAGGAAUCUGGGCUCCCCUGAGCUGUGGAAGAGAUGAACAUGGGGCAGGACCAGGCAGGGGACUGAGAUUACAAUCUCUUCUUCCCUCCCGUUCUCUUGCCCCAGUAAUCUCUAGCACCCCAAGGGAGGCAGAAGCAGCGAUCAGGCCCUGAGGGCAGCAGGCUGUGGGUGUUCCUUGGAUUCAGGGAGAGCAUUCCUUCCUGCAGUGUCCUAAUUUGUGUGGGUUGAAGAGGGCAGGCGGGCAGAGUGUGGGCACAGUCUGGACAGGCAGUGGUCUGGCAUUAGACUGCUGGGAGUAGCACCCAGGGCCCCCCUCCUGUUCCCGGAGAAGGACUGUUCUUACUUGUCCUCCAGGCUCCCACUGAGACUGCAGAUAGAGACGCUGAAAGUGCCUCACCUGUGGGGCUGUGAAUGAAAGGCUCUAGAAACUUUUUUUUUUUUUUCCUGAGAUCUUUGCAAACCCAGGUGUUUUAGAGGAAAGAACACUGGCCUGGAGUUAGUAUGAGACCUGUUCCCUAGUCUUGGUUCUGCUGCUGGCUUACUGUGUCACCUUGGGCAGGUCUUGUCAUCUUUUGAUGCCUCACAGUUGCUUCAUCUGUGAAACAGGAAGCUCAGUGUCUGCUUGUCCAGCUUCACAGAGUUGCUGUGCAGCUCAGUGUGGCAUAGGAAAUAGCAGACACAGGGAGAGGACAGCAGGAACGCACUUGGAAAAGCAUAAGGCACUGUAGGGAGCAGUGGCAACGUUUUUCUGGUGAGUCCUGUGGCAGGAAUGUGUGUGCAUUCAGCACUGGAGCAUUUACUUUCUGUCCGACAUUGGGGUAGCUGCCAUGAGGGGGAGUCUAGUCUCAGAGUCUCUCCCUUCUGGAAGUUUCCAGGGCAAUAAAGACAUAAGACAAAUAUCCUUGAAAUGUUAUCUAAAAACCCAAGAUUGAAAUAAUACCUGUCACACAAAGAAGUAGGAGAGUAGUGUAGCUCCAUGCCCAGGGCUCUAGGGAUUCACAGAUGGCAGCUCCUGUCUAGGGCUGAGGUUGGGAGGGGAGGAAUGGGGCAGGAACCGGGCAGGGUGAGUUGGUCUCUGGAGUGACUGUGCUUUUCCGCCCUCAGCCGAGGAAGAACCGAUGCUGGAACGUCGUUGCAGGGGCCCCCUGGCCAUGGGCCUGGCCCAGCCCCGACUCCUUUCUGGCUCCUCCCAGGAGUCACCCCAGACCCUGGAGAAGGAGCCCCGCAGGCUGAGGCAACAAGGCAUAUCAGUGGCCCAGUCUGGUGCCCAAGCCCUGGGCAGGGCCCAUCGCUGUGCCCACUGUCGAAGGCACUUUCCUGGCUGGGUGGCUCUAUGGCUUCACGCCCGCCGGUGCCAGGCCCGGCUGCCCUUGCCCUGCCCUGAGUGUGGCCGUCGCUUCCGCCAUGCCCCCUUCUUAGCACUGCACCGCCAGGUCCAUGCUGCUGCCACCCCAGACCUGGGCUUCGCCUGCCAUCUCUGUGGGCAGAGCUUCCGAGGCUGGGUGGCCCUGGUUCUGCAUCUGCAGGCCCAUUCGGCUGCAAAGCGGCCCAUCGCUUGUCCCAAAUGCGAGAGACGCUUCUGGCGACGAAAGCAGCUUCGAGCUCAUCUGCGGCGGUGCCACCCUCCCGCCCCGGAGGCCCGGCCCUUCAUAUGUGGCAACUGUGGCCGGAGCUUCGCCCAGUGGGACCAGCUAGUUGCCCACAAGCGGGUGCACGUAGCCGAGGCGCUGGAGGAGGCUGCAGCCAAGGCUCUCGGGCCCCGGCCCAGGGGCCGCCCCGCGGUGACCGCCCCCCGACCCGGUGGAGAUGCUGUCGACCGCCCCUUCCAGUGUGCCUGCUGUGGCAAGCGCUUCCGGCACAAGCCCAACUUGAUCGCCCACCGCCGCGUGCACACGGGCGAGCGGCCCCACCAGUGCCCCGAGUGCGGGAAGCGCUUCACUAAUAAGCCCUACCUGACUUCGCACCGACGCAUCCACACCGGCGAGAAGCCCUACCCGUGCAAGGAGUGCGGCCGUCGCUUCCGGCACAAACCCAACCUGCUGUCUCACAGCAAGAUUCACAAGCGAUCCGAGGUGUCGGCCCAGGCCGCCCCCGGCCCGGGGAGUCCCCAGCGGCCAGCCGGCCCCCAGGAGUGCGCAGCCGAGUCCACCCCGGUGGCGCCGCUGAAACCCGCCCAGGAGGCGCCGCCGGCGGCCCCGCCAGAGCCCGCGCAGGACCGGGCCGAGGCGGCCCCGUCCCUCUACAGCUGUGACGACUGCGGCAGGAGCUUCCGGCUGGAGCGCUUCCUGCGGGCCCACCAGCGGCAGCACACCGGGGAGCGGCCCUUCGCCUGCGCCGAGUGCGGGAAGAACUUCGGCAAGAAGACGCACCUGGUGGCGCACUCGCGCGUGCACUCGGGCGAGCGGCCCUUCGCCUGCGAGGAGUGCGGCCGCCGCUUCUCCCAGGGCAGCCACCUGGCGGCGCACCGGCGCGACCACGCCCCCGACCGGCCCUUCGUGUGCCCCGACUGCGGCAAGGCCUUCCGCCACAAGCCCUACCUGGCGGCGCACCGGCGCAUCCACACCGGCGAGAAGCCUUAUGUCUGCCCCGACUGUGGCAAAGCCUUCAGCCAGAAGUCCAACCUGGUGUCGCACCGGCGAAUCCACACGGGCGAGCGGCCCUACGCCUGCCCCGACUGCGACCGCAGCUUCAGCCAGAAGUCCAACCUCAUCACCCACCGCAAAAGCCACAUCCGGGACGGCGCCUUCUGCUGUGCCAUCUGUGGCCAGACCUUCGACGAUGAGGAAAGGCUCCUGGCCCACCAGAAGAAGCACGAUGUCUGAGACGGUGGGCGGGGCCGGGAAGGCUGAGAGAGGCCUGGGGUUCCUCGUGGGGGAGUCACAGUGGGCUGGGGAUGCCUGCCUCGUGCUGGGUUAGGGUACAAUGGGAAUCCCAGAGGGGAUAGAAGAGGCGAGGAGUGAGCUGGGUGGGCCCUGUUAGCCAGAGAGGUCAAUCCUGGUAGCCAGGGAACCCACUUCCAAGUUCAGGGAUGCCGGCCUCCAUCUGGUGUGUGUGUGCGCUAAGGUUCCUUCCUGACUGCCCAGUGCCCUGGAAAAGUAGCAAUAGCAUCUGCCCCUUAGAGCCCUCUGGCUAGAGGAGCCCCCAGUGGAAAGGAAGACCCUCCAUCCUCUGGUGUUAACGCCUUAAUUUCCCUGUCUUUUACUGUAAGUUACUUCAGAUCAUUUUUGGAAGUAGGCGUGGUACAGUCCUGUAUAUGAAUGCUCUGGGCUACAUACCGCUUGGAGAACCUGCUGGCCUUGUUAGACAGCACUUGGGCCUUUGCCAGCAGCAAGAAGUGAAGCCAAGCCACUCUUACCUCUCCCAUCCCCUCCCUCCUGCCCCCUGUGUAGGCACUCAGACUUGGAGAGAACCAUCUGCUGUUAGCACUUCCAUCCUCUUCCUUCCCAAAGAGCAAACCCCCAAGGCAUUUCCUCCUUGGUCUGUCUUGCUAUAUCUGUCGCCCCUCCCAGCGCUGAGAGCCUCCCCUGGCUGUCUGUGGCGCUGUGUCCAGACUCAGGCUCGUGUCUGCACACCCCAGCCCCUCCACUCCUUCCAGAGCUCAGCAUGUUGUGGAAAGGACUGCCCCAUUGGUGGUGGAGGGUCAGCUGAAGGGAAGUUACCGAUGAAUUUCCUUUUCACCAUUUCUAGCAUAUGGACACCUGGGCUCUGCCUGAGCACUUAGGUCACAGGGACCUCCCCACCUCCUAAGGCCCUGGAUGAUUCUAAUUGUUAGACAUUCUAAUUGUUAGAAAUCCUUCCUGAUAAUGAAUGAAUUUCGCUUUCCUAUAAUUUCUACCUAUUGGGCCUUGUUCUGUUCUCUGGAACUAAACAGAACAACCAUUUACCCCUCUUUUCAAACUAGAGAAUAAAGAUUUGGUUUUAGAA